UCAAAGAUUAAGCCAUGCAUGUCUAAGUAUAAGCAAUUAUACAGCGAAACUGCGAAUGGCUCAUUAUAUAAGUUAUCGUUUAUUUGAUAGUACCUUACUACUUGGAUAACCGUGGUAAUUCUAGAGCUAAUACAUGCUAAAAAUCCCGACUCACGGAGGGAUGUAUUUAUUAGAUUAAAAACCAAUGCCCUCUGGGCUCCUUGGUGAUUCAUGAUAACUUCUCGAAUCGCACGGCCUUGCGCCGGCGAUGGCUCAUUCAAAUUUCUUCCCUAUCAACUUUCGAUGUUUGGGUAUUGGCCAAACAUGGUCGCAACGGGUAACGGAGGGUUAGGGCUCGACCCCGGAGAAGGAGCCUGAGAAACGGCUACUACAUCCAAGGAAGGCAGCAGGCGCGCAAAUUACCCAAUCCCGAUUCGGGGAGGUAGUGACAAUAAAUACUGAUACAGGGCUCUUUUGGGUCUUGUAAUUGGAAUGAGUACAAUUUAAAUCUCUUAACGAGGAACAAUUGGAGGGCAAGUCUGGUGCCAGCAGCCGCGGUAAUUCCAGCUCCAAUAGCGUAUAUUAAAGUUGUUGUGGUUAAAAAGCUCGUAGUUGAACCUUGGGCCCGGCCGACCGGUCCGUCUCACCACGUUGACUGGUCCGGCUGGGCCUUUCCCUCUGUGGAACCCCAUGCCCUUCACUGGGUGUGGCGGGGAAACAGGACUUUUACUUUGAAAAAAUUAGAGUGCUCCAGGCAGGCCUAUGCUCGAAUACAUUAGCAUGGAAUAAUGAAAUAGGACGCGUGGUUCUAUUUUGUUGGUUUCUAGGACCGCCGUAAUGAUUAAUAGGGACAGUCGGGGGCAUCAGUAUUCAAUUGUCAGAGGUGAAAUUCUUGGAUUUAUUGAAGACUAACUACUGCGAAAGCAUUUGCCAAGGAUGUUUUCAUUAAUCAGGAACGAAAGUUAGGGGAUCGAAGACGAUCAGAUACCGUCGUAGUCUUAACCAUAAACUAUGCCGACUAGGGAUCGGACGAUGUUAUUUUUUGACGCGUUCGGCACCUUACGAGAAAUCAAAGUGCUUGGGCUCCAGGGGGAG
This 1074-nucleotide ribosomal RNA is filed under the name Blackwellomyces cardinalis. Its description in RNAcentral is "SSU rRNA". It matches the Rfam family "Eukaryotic small subunit ribosomal RNA", at positions 37 to 1123 of the family's 1831-position model. The record is from RNAcentral. Lineage: Eukaryota; Fungi; Ascomycota; Sordariomycetes; Hypocreales; Cordycipitaceae.